Molecule: ribosomal RNA, 497 nt
Filed under: uncultured bacterium
Lineage: Bacteria
Description: partial 16S ribosomal RNA
Rfam family: Bacterial small subunit ribosomal RNA
Source: RNAcentral
GAUGAGCGCUGGCGGCGUGCCUAAUACAUGCAAGUCGAGCGAACGGACGAGAAGCUUGCUUCUCUGAUGUUAGCGGCGGACGGGUGAGUAACACGUGGAUAACCUACCUAUAAGACUGGGAUAACUUCGGGAAACCGGAGCUAAUACCGGAUAAUAUUUUGAACCGCAUGGUUCAAAAGUGAAAGACGGUCUUGCCGUCACUUCUAGAUGGAUCCGCGCUGCAUUAGCUAGUUGGUAAGGUAACGGCUUACCAAGGCAACGAUGCAUAGCCGACCUGAGAGGGUGAUCGGCCACACUGGAACUGAGACACGGUCCAGACUCCUACGGGAGGCAGCAGUAGGGAAUCUUCCGCAAUGGGCGAAAGCCUGACGGAGCAACGCCGCGUGAGUGAUGAAGGUCUUCGGAUCGUAAAACUCUGUUAUUAGGGAGGAACAUAUGUGUAAGUAACUGUGCACAUCUUGACGGUACCUAAUCAGAAAGCCACGGCUAACUACGUG